This 254-nucleotide ribosomal RNA is filed under the name uncultured bacterium. RNAcentral's name for it is "partial 16S ribosomal RNA". It matches the Rfam family "Bacterial small subunit ribosomal RNA", at positions 524 to 776 of the family's 1533-position model. The record is from RNAcentral.
UACGAAGGGGGCUAGCGUUGCUCGGAAUGACUGGGCGUAAAGAGCGUGUAGGCGGCCACACAGGUCUGCUGUGAAAACUCGAGGCUCAACCUCGAGCUGUCGGUGGAAACCGUGUGGCUAGAGUCCGGAAGAGGAGAGUGGAAUUCCCGGUGUAGCGGUGAAAUGCGCAGAUAUCGGGAAGAACACCCGUGGCGAAGGCGGCUACUCUGGGACGGUACUGACGCUGAGACGCGAAAGCGUGGGGAGCGAACAGG